Molecule: ribosomal RNA, 638 nt
Filed under: uncultured bacterium
Lineage: Bacteria
Description: bacterial SSU rRNA
Rfam family: Bacterial small subunit ribosomal RNA
Source: RNAcentral
GCGCCUAACACAUGCAAGUCGAACGAGAGAUGAAGAGCUUGCUCUUCAAAUCGAGUGGCGAACGGGUGAGUAACGCGUGAGGAACCUGCCUCAAAGAGGGGGACAACAGUUGGAAACGACUGCUAAUACCGCAUAAGCCCACGGCUCGGCAUCGAGCAGAGGGAAAAGGAGCAAUCCGCUUUGAGAUGGCCUCGCGUCCGAUUAGCUAGUUGGUGAGGUAACGGCCCACCAAGGCGACGAUCGGUAGCCGGACUGAGAGGUUGAACGGCCACAUUGGGACUGAGACACGGCCCAGACUCCUACGGGAGGCAGCAGUGGGGAAUAUUGCACAAUGGGGGAAACCCUGAUGCAGCGACGCCGCGUGGAGGAAGAAGGUCUUCGGAUUGUAAACUCCUGUUGUUGAGGAAGAUAAUGACGGUACUCAACAAGGAAGUGACGGCUAACUACGUGCCAGCAGCCGCGGUAAAACGUAGGUCACAAGCGUUGUCCGGAAUUACUGGGUGUAAAGGGAGCGCAGGCGGGAGAACAAGUUGGAAGUGAAAUCCAUGGGCUCAACCCAUGAACUGCUUUCAAAACUGUUUUUCUUGAGUAGUGCAGAGGUAGGCGGAAUUCCCGGUGUAGCGGUGGAAUGCGUAGAU